GACGAACGCUGGCGGCGUGCUUAACACAUGCAAGUCGAACGGAAAGGCCCUGCUUUUGUGGGGUGCUCGAGUGGCGAACGGGUGAGUAACACGUGAGUAGCCUGCCCUUGACUUUGGGAUAACUUCAGGAAACUGGGGCUAAUACCGGAUAGGAGCUCCUGCUGCAUGGUGGGGGUUGGAAAGUUUCGGCGGUUGGGGAUGGACUCGCGGCUUACCAGCUUGUUGGUGGGGUAGUGGCUUACCAAGGCUUUGACGGGUAGCCGGCCUGAGAGGGUGACCGGCCACAUUGGGACUGAGAUACGGCCCAGACUCCUACGGGAGGCAGCAGUGGGGAAUAUUGCACAAUGGGCGGAAGCCUGAUGCAGCAACGCCGCGUGCGGGAUGACGGCCUUCGGGUUGUAAACCGCUUUCGCCUGUGACGAAGCGUGAGUGACGGUAAUGGGUAAAGAAGCACCGGCUAACUACGUG
This 468-nucleotide ribosomal RNA is filed under the name uncultured bacterium. Its description in RNAcentral is "partial 16S ribosomal RNA". It matches the Rfam family "Bacterial small subunit ribosomal RNA", at positions 28 to 507 of the family's 1533-position model. The record is from RNAcentral.